AAUUAAUGAACUUGUAAAAGUAUAUGCCUUGAAAGUAUAAAAAAGAAGUAAAAUCUUCUAUUAAUUU
RNAcentral lists this transfer RNA (67 nucleotides) under Chrysomeloidea sp. 1 KM-2017. RNAcentral describes it as "tRNA-Ser". It matches the Rfam family "tRNA". Rfam says of the family: Transfer RNA (tRNA) molecules are approximately 80 nucleotides in length. Their secondary structure includes four short double-helical elements and three loops (D, anti-codon, and T loops). The record is from RNAcentral. Lineage: Eukaryota; Metazoa; Arthropoda; Insecta; Coleoptera.